This 10963-nucleotide long non-coding RNA is filed under the name Nicotiana tabacum (common tobacco). RNAcentral describes it as "long non-coding RNA (NTAB_LNC018995)". Lineage: Eukaryota; Viridiplantae; Streptophyta; Magnoliopsida; Solanales; Solanaceae. The record is from RNAcentral.
AAAGAAAGAAAGAAGCAAAGAACGUGAAAGGAAAAACGAAAGAAAUCAAAGAACAAAGUAAAGAAGGUGGAAAGAGAAUCAGAUAGUUGUAGUUGUAAAUCCCCUUACGUGGCCCCCCUAUAUUUUGUCAUUCCUUAAUUCACUUAUUUUUUUAGUGGGUCCCAUCCCCUAAAUUGAUUUCCUCCAUAUCCUCUCUCAAAAUCACGUGCCCACCUUCGAUCCAUAACCGAAUUUGAUUCCUUUUGAUAAGAGUAGUGAGAAAUCCCUAGCGCCUCAAGCUCGACCACUUCAUAUCAUCGCUGCAUCUCCGUCAACCCAACACCUCAAAACCAUCAAAUCAUCUAUUUUCCACCAAAAAGCCACUGUUAUGUUAUUCUUCUCUCCAUUAGAACCACCAUAGCAGAUCUAUUUACACCACCAGUAGAUUGUCGUCUCUUAGCCUUACAUACCAUGAAUACCCAGUUGCAAUCUCGGUAAAACCUCAAAUAAAAUCCAGACACCAAUAGUUUAUUUUCCAGCUUCCAUCAUUAUCGAGUUCCGAGUUUUAAGGCGAGGUAUCUAAAUGGAAAGAAUUCGUGUCAGUGAGGUUUCCGAUUCGAGGACCGUACGGCAUCCGCGGUUCAAGUUCCAAUCGUCGUUGCUUGCUAUAGCAAUUUUGCAUCAAAAUAGAAAGUUGGAGACUCUCGUUAAUGGCAAAGCUCUAUUUGAGGUCCAUUUCUUACUCUGAUUUGUAAAUGUUCUCUCUGUGAUCCUGUUAUCAAUCUUUGAUGAUUUAUAAUUGUUUUGCUGUUUCAUUGUUUGUUUAAGAUUUUGUUGAUUGGAUUCAUUUUGUUGAGUUUUCAUUUGAUACGUUAUUUGGGUACAGACAUGGAUUAGUUAGUUUCAUCCAUUUUAAAAGGGUGAAUGCACGUGAUUUAUUGGGUCAAUUGUUUUGGACUAAAAAUUCGUCGAGAGCAUAAAAUGAGUCAUGACAGUAAUUAGAAUUAAAAGCAAGUUUUGGAUUGUGAGUUAAAAAUAAAUUUGGACUUGGCUAUAUUCUGAGGUCAGGCUUGAUGUAAUUUAGUUGCUCUUUUACUUUGACGCUCACUAAUUGGAUCGGCUGGAGCAUGUUUUGGUUUAAAAUUGGAUUUGGGGUUUUGGUUAAUAAUGAAAAGGAAUUUGAGCUUAAGAAAGAUUCUGUUAUUCUCGUGUUGAUUCUCAUUUAAUUAUUUGGGUCGUUAGGAGCAUACUUAGGAAAAUAAUCACUUGUGAACACCGUAGUUUACUUUAGGCGCGAUUAAUAAAUCAUCGUGGACAUGGGUACGGUUCCCGUGGCAUGGUCACGAUACGUAAAUCCCAACUCAAGUACGCGUUUCACGUGACUUGACCUCAACUUCAAAUAAUAAUAACAAACAUGUUGUAAAUUAUGGGUGCGUUUCACGUGGCACGAUUCGCAAUAUGUACAAAAACCAACGAGUGCGCGACAUCGCGACUUGUUCAAAAAAAUCCCAUAAAUACUAAAAGCGAUUGAAUUAAUUAAAAGCGAUUAGAAUGUUAAAAAUGCAUGAUAGGUUUUAAACAUGUAACAAAUCAGAUAAUUAGGCCCAUUAUUAAUAAUUAAACGACCGUGCUAAAAUCACGAAAUUCGGGAGUACCUCACACCUUCUCCCGGGUUAACAGAACUCCUUACCCGGUCUUCUAGUUUUUGCAGACUUUCAAACAUAGUUAAAUUUCCUCGAUUUGGAAUUUAAAAUAAAUCGGUGACUUGGGACACCAUAAAUUAUUCCAAGUGGCGACUCUGAUUAAAUAAAUAAUCUCAUUUCGAUUAAUGUCACUUUAAUUGGAAAAACUCCCUAUCCAUCGGGAAAAUGGAGGUGUGACAGCUCUGGCGACUCUACUGGGGACAAGAACCCAGAAUCUCUGGUUCAGGGUUCAGAAUUCGAGCUUAGAAUAACUUUUAUGCUUGGCUUUCUUGUGAUUGUCUGAUAUUACAUGUUUGGGCCUAAUGUGCUAAUUGCCGCUCAUUUACCGCUUUGAUAUUCUGUGAACUGUAUAUAAACUGUUACGCCACCCUUCUUCUCUCUGAGUCUUCUAAAUCUUCUGAGAAGCGCAUUUGGUGUGGCUUCUUUUCUAUUAGAGUGUCAUAUCCCUAAUUUAGAACGAGGAUCGGAUCAGUUAUAAAGCCGAAUGGCCUUUUGGUUUCUGGUACAUUGCCCUCCCUCCCCCCUCCCCCCAGCUCGAGCUGUCCUCUCGGGUAAGCCAGGUCUAGAAAAACACACCCCAGGAUUCAAAUCUAGAAUAACAUAGACUCAUGCCGGAUCCCUAGUAGGAACAUUUGUCUGCAUCACGUGCAUUUGACUUUGGGGACUCAACACAGGGGUUGAGUCUGUCUAGGACAUGUGUAUCCCAAAAUAAAAAGACCAUCCUGAUGCAUCUUAUGUGCUACUUGUUGCAUUUGUUUGUUCUGGUUUGCAUGUUGACUGGUUUCUAGAAUAGGGAAAGAAAAAUUUUUAAAAAAAGAGUGAGAGUUAGGUAUUUGAAAUCUGAAACUCUGCCGAAAUUUUAUUUUUUAAAAAAAGAAAGAAAAUAAGCCAAUAUUUUCAAAAGUCAUGUUUCCCCUAUUCCGUCAAAACUGACAGAACUACGCGGGCCUGAUUCUCACCGGAUGUGAGAUACGUAGGGAAACCUUAUCGGUCCCGGCCCACAAUUUUAAAAAAUAAAUCCAAAAAAUAUUUUUCUUUACUUACUUCUUUAGAAAGUCUUUCUUUUAGACCACAAUUUUCAAAAAAAUCAAAAACUAUUUUCCUUUACUUCCUUCUUUAGAAAGUUUUUUCUUUUAGACCCCAAUUUUCAAAAAUCCAAAAAUAUUUUCUUUUAAUUCCUUCUUUAGAAGUCUUUCCUUUGAAAAUUUCAAAUACAAAAAAAAAGAGUUUAAAAUUAAAAAUAUUUUCUUCCUUUAUAGAAGUCUUUCAUUCAAAAAAAAAAAAUCAUUCAAAAUUCAAAAAUAUGUUUUUUUUUUUUUUGGAAGUCUUUCUCCCAAAAAUCAAAAAUCNNNNNNNNNNNNNNNNNNNNNNNNNUUCGGAAAUUAAAAAAAACAAUCAAAAUCCAAAAGAGUUAGUUCAUUUACUUUAUUUCUUAUCUUCCCGAACUACGCAAGAUCUGAUUCAUGUUCCCAUAUGAUAUGUAGGCAACCCUCGUCAGGUUCGAUCUAAUGGUUUUAAAAAAAAGAGAGAGAAGAAAAAAAAAGAGAGAAAAGAAAGAAAAAAAACAGAUUGAUCAUUCUAACAUGCUUGUUGUUUUGAAAUAAAACCUGGUUAAAGGUAGUCGAUUUGUUGGUUUGCAACGGCGAGUCACAAAAAUAAUCCAAGAUCCCUCGAAAAUAAAAACAUUUUCUCAACCAAUGGAACAAGCACCACUAUUGUUGAUCCAAAGUCACGAAAAGGCAAGUAGGCAAGUUAGCAGUGAAAAAUCAAAAAUGGAGGCAAAUGUGGGGUUGACUUUACCAGAUUUGAGCAAUAGGACAUGGCAUGCUUGGGAUGAUUUGAGGAAAGGGAGACAUAAAAAUUCUUCCAAGUCCUUUAAUAAAUGAGUUGCUUUGAAAUUUUCCCAUGUCGUCAGUCCUGAAAUCCGACAGUCAAUAUUGGAAAUAUUUUGAUCAAAAAGCCAAAAUUUGAGUGCUGAAUCAGAAGGAAUAUAAAGGUUGAAUGUCGUAGUAGUGCUGAUGUACAAAUUUGUGGCAAAGAUGUUGCUUAGUAACUAGAAAGUCACUCUUCUUUUAUCCAUGGUAGCUUAUUUUUUCUUCUUUUCUUCUUCUUUUUGUGUUAUCGAACCCUUAUGUCCGUUAUUCAAUAAAAAAACAGUCAGUCAUUUUGUGUCCAUUUUGUGCAUAAUUCUUUUCACGCUAAUUCUAGUAACAUGACAUGCAUGUGAAAAUUUUGGCCAGAUCUUAAAAAACUUAUUUAAUAUUGAAUUGGAUAAGUGAGAAAGAGACACUUUUGAAGAUGAAUAAAGACAUGAAAUAUUUGAAAAAUAAGCAUGAGCCAAGUUUACAUGGGAACCAAAGCAGUCAUGCUCAUGGAAUUUAAGGAUCUCUACCUUUUGAAUCAUGAGAAGAUCGGGCUUAAGAAUAAUCGGACGGGUUGAAGUCUGUUUAGCACUAUGAGAUAGAAAGUGUUUUUCAAAAUAAGGUGUAUUAUAGACAACUUGAAAUGGAUCAGUUUAGUGGAAAAAUGCAUUUUUUACAUCAAGAUAAAAUCCAAGAAAAAGUCACCCAAAUUGACAAGGGUCAUUCACUGCGAGGAAAGUAUUGCUCAUACAGCUUUACACUGAAAAAGACCCAAAAAGCAACAUGUCCAUCAAUAUUGUGAUUGUGAAGGGCUUACAUGAUUGGCAUUCUCGAGGCUAGGAGGCCUUUUUCUGCUAUCCAAAUACUUUAUACCCUUCGUUACCCCUUUUGAACUUGUGUUAUUUUCUUUGACCACCCUCUUUUGGAAUCAAGUGUACAGUUGAAAGUAAAAAAAAAUGAAAUGAAAAAUGAAAAGAAAAGUUCAUGCCCCAAGAGUACAAAUUGGGCAAUUCUUAGAUAGUUCAAGUGAAAAAAAAGAGAGAAGAAAAUAACAGUCAAAGGUCCAUUUUCCCAGAAAAUAAAAGUUGGGGCAACUUAUUUUGGAAACAAAAAAAAAAAGAAGAAAAAAAGAAAAAAAAAAGAAAGAAAGAUGAAAGCAAAAAAAAAUAGUUAGGUCAGAUGUAUAAACUACGUUUGUCCUGAUUCCUUUUUAAAAAGGAUACGUAGACAGCCUUACACGGUUCGGUCCAACCAAAUAAGAAUUCAGAAGAAAAACAAAAUCAAAAAAUCGCCAGUAUCUGAAACCGGGGCAAAGAUUUUAUUUCACUUUUGAAAGAGUCGAUUCCAAGAAUUGUAAGUCUACAACUCCCUCAUUUUGAGUCUACUUUGACCCUCAUGUCGUCCAUUCUUUCUAAGCAUUUCCAAAAGCCUUCCAAACAAGACCUCCUGAUCAGUUUUGAGAAUGCCAAGGGAAAUCCGCAAUGAUCAAUGGUUGUCAUAUGGAGGACAUGGUCAUGGUUCUCACUCAAGGAAUCAAGAAAAAUCAAAAAAAAAGAAGAGAAAAAGAAAAAUGAGAGAGUCUUACUAGUGAAAACCCCCACGGGCACUGUAAGGCGACUGUAAGUAGAGAAAAUAAAUGAGAGAGGCUUGUUGGUGAAAAUCUCUCAGGGCACCACUAGUCGAAAGUGAGUCGUGAAUCUGAUGCAAAGGAUUGGGACGAACAAGCCCGACUUCAAAGGUCAUAAGAAUGGUAAAAGGGAAGAUUGGAUUAAUUUGAUAGAUCAGCCGUUAUUCAUGUCAUGAUCAUUAAGGCUAGUUAUUGAAAAAAGAAGAAGAAAAACUCUUCCCUCUUUCCUUCCCGACAGGGGCAUUUCUUGUUAAUACUGUUUCUUUGCAUCAUUGUGUCCCUUCACUCUGAGUCAGUCCUUGUCAAAACAAGCAAGAAAAGAUUUCAAAAUCUGCUGCCAACUUUUCAGUUGCACAAAGUAAAUUUGGCCAGCAUACUCAAGUGUUACAGUCAACAUGCCUUGAGGAUUCAUGCAAAGGCUUCCCCUCAAAAGACCCUUGUCAGUCUACUUGACUAAAGCAAGCAAAGAUAACCUCGAGGUUAAUCAGGGGCUCUCUGUAGUACUGAACAGAGACUAUGAAGUGUGCACAUCAUGCAAAAGGCGCAUACCCAGAUGCGACUCUCUCUGACAGACAAAUUAUCCCAAAAGCAAGAAGUCAUUCAAGAUAUCAGAAAAGGUCACCUAAGCAAAGAUCUCUAGUUGGCAUAAGGCUGAUUGAGCCACAAAUAAAAAUGGUACUGGGUUGAAACAAUCAGGGUUGAUGCAGAGCAAAAGUCUCUUAAAAUCGACUCAAGCUGAUUGAGCAAAAGCUAAGCUGCCCAAAACUCAAGGCCACAAACCGACCACCACUUUCAAACUGACAAAAUUUUCUUUGUUUGAAAUAGGAACAAAGCAGUGCAAGGAAAGUGGUUCAAAAAAAAAAAAAGAAGACAAGAGCCGACAAAGGGAAGUUUCUCAAAUCUUUGCCUUUAUUUGUCUUGCUAGUGUGCAUAAAAUCUUGCCAUUGCUCUUCACAUUUUUUUCCUCCUAGGGUAAUACAUCCUGGUCUGAUUGAUUUUCCUUCCAAUAAAGAUCUUAGUCUGAUGAAUCAUUCUCCUAAGAUAAAAAGCCCUAGUCUGAUGAAUUUUCUCCUAGGAUAAAUGUCUUAGUCUGAUGAUUUUUUCUCCUAAUAUAAGAAAACCUAGUCUGGUGAAUCUUUAUCCAAGGAUAAACGUCUUAGUCUGAUGAAUUUUGCUCGUAAGAUAAAACAACCUAGUCUGAUGAAUUUUCUCCUAGGAUACACAGUCUUAGUCUAAUGAAUCUUUCUCCUAAGAUAAGAAAACCUAGUCUGAUGAAUUUUUUCCUAGGAUAGAAAUCUUAGUCUGAUGAAUAUUUCUCCUAAUAUAGUAAAUUAGAAAACCUAGUCUGAUGAACUUUCUCCUAGGAUAGACGUCUUAGUCUGAUAGAUCUUUCUCCUAAGAUAAGAAAACCUAGUCUGAUGAAUUUUUUCCUAGGAUAGAAAUCUUAGUCUGAUGAAUCUUUCUCCUAAGAUAAGUAAACCUAGUCUGAUGAAAUUUCUCCUAGGAUAAAAAAUCAUAGUCCGAUGAAUCUUUUUCCUAAGAUUUAAACAAAAAAAAAAAUUCCUAGUCUGAUGAACUUUCUCCUAGGAUAGAAAUCUUAGUAUGAUGAAUUUUCUCCUAGGAUAGAAAUCUUAGUCUGAUGAAUCUUUCUCCUAAGAUAAGAAAACCUAGUCUAAUAAAUUUUCUCCUAGGAUAUAGAAAUCUUAGUCUGAUGAAUCUUUCUCCUAAGAUAAAGAAAAAAACCUAGUCCGAUGAAUUUUCUCCUAGGAUAAUUUAAAAAAAAGGUCAAUUUCAGUUUCUUUAAGUUGUUAACCUUAGUUUUCCUUUGGUUUAGGGGUCCCGCCUGAAAAAUAGGGUCAGUUUUUUUAGUUUUCUUAAGUUGUUAAUCUUUAGUUUUCCUUAGGUUCAGGGGUCCCGCCUGGAGAAUGGGGUCAGCUUUUAGUUUUUUUUAAGUUCAGGGGUCCUGCCUGGAGAAUAGGGUCAGUUUUUAGUUUCCUUAUGUUAUUAGUCAUUAGUAUUUCUUGAGUUUAGGGGUCCCGCCUGGAAAAUAGGGUCAGUUUUUAGUUUUCUUAAGUCGUUAAUCUUUAGUUUUUCUUAAGUUCAGGGGUCCCGCCUGGAAAAUAGGGUUAGUUUUUAUUCUAGUCAAGCUCAGUUUAUAGUUUUCCUUAGGCUCAAUCUCACAUCUAGGAGACGCACUUCCUAGUUUGAGUUAUUCAGUUUCUAGGAGAUGCACUUCCUAGUUCAAGUUUUACCCCUAGGAGACGCACUUCCUAGUCUGGGUCUUUCAGCUCAUUCUUUUAGGAGACGCACUUCCUAAAUUGAGAUUUCACUUCUAGGAGAUGCACUUCCUAGUUUGGGUAGUUUGAAUUUAUCCCUAGGAGACGCACUUCCUAGUGCAAACUGGGGCAGAAAAUUUUAUUCGUUUUGUUGUUUUUGUUGAAGGCACCCACCUGGAGAACGAGAAAAUUUAUUUCAGAGUUAUUUCAAGUUUCGAGUCAGUAGCAGGCGCCUACCUGGAGAACGAGGGAAGUCAUUUCAGAAUUCACUUCAAGUUUCAAGUCAGUAGCAGGCGCCCACCUGGAGAACGAGGGAAGUCAUUUCAGAAUUCACUUCAAGUUUCAAGUUAGUAGCAGGCGCCUACUUGGAGAGCAAAGGAAGUCAUUUCAGAAUUCACUUCAAGUUCGAGUCAGAGGCACCGGGAGCCCGCCUGAAGAACAGGGUCAACUUUCAGUUUUCAAGUUCAAGUCAGAGGCAGCAGGAUCUCUCCUGAAGAAUAGGGUUAACCUUCAGUCUUUUCAAUUAAAAUCAGAAGUAGCACAAGCCGCCUGAAGAACAAGGUUUGCAAGCUCAAGUCUACUCCAAGUUCAAGUCUACUCCAAGUUCAAGUUUAUUUCAAGUGCAAGCAGCAGGAUGCCAGCCUGAAGAACAUGGUCAAUUUCCAGUUUUCUUCAAAUUCAAGUCAGCGGGAUGCCCACCUGAAGAAUAGGGUGAAUUUUCAGUUUUAUGUUGAAGGAUCAAGUGAAGAUUCGAGGAAGAUUCAAGACAAGAAGUAGAUAGGAUCUUGUAUUUUUCUUUUAUUUUGCUGUAAUUUUUGCUUUCAAUUUAUGAUGUAAAUGGCAGGGACCACGAACCGAAGCCUCGAUGGAACCUCACUCAACACUCCAACUCAUCAUUCCAUCACUCUCCUUGAACUACACGCGACCUGAUUCCUUUAUAACCCGGGAUAUGUAGGCUGUCCAAAACCAGCACUUGGUUGCACCCUUUUUUUUAUUUUCUUCCUCUUUUGAAUAACGAUAUAGUCAAAAUUAGUCACACGGUUCAUUUUAUCUUUGCCUGAAAACUCUUCAUGUUUCCAAGCAAAGAGGGGCAGCUGUGAGCACGUAAUUUUUGACCUUACAUGAUUUUUUUUACCACCUAAAUUCAAAUAGCUUUUAGGUUUAAUUUAUAUUUUAGAUUUUUAUUUUUUUACUUUUUAGUAAACCUCGCGAGAUAAAUAGAAAACAACAAAAAUAGCCGCAAUUUUACAUUUUAAUUGUGUUCCCAUUUUCAAAAGAAAGAAAACGUUCCAAAAAAUAUAUUUUAACGAGUCUACUUUUAUUUUUUAAGUUAAGGAUUUUCAUAAAUGAAAUUUGAGUAGUUAGCAUUUUUAUCUAUAUAUAUUAAUCAAGUAGGAGUAAUAUUUUUAUUUUUAUUAAAAAAAAAAAGAAAGAAAAAAAAAAGAAAAAAGCAAAGAACGUGAAAGGAAAAAGUAAAGAAAUCAAAGAAGAAAGAAAAGAAGGUGGAAAGAGAAUCGGAUAGUUGUAGUUGUAAUUCCCCUUACGUGGCCCCCCUAUAUUUUGUCCUUCCUUAAUUCUCUUAUUUUUUAGUGGGUCCCAUCCCCUAAAUUGAUUUUCCUCCAUAUCCUCUCUCAAAAUCACGUGCUCACCUUCGAUCCAUAACAGAAUUUGAUUGCUUUUGAUCAUUUUGUUUUUGAGGGGACCACACAUUUUUAAUAUUCUUUUCUUGUUCUCCAAGCCCAUUAAUCUGGUGGGAGUUCUACAUAACAAAGACACACACUACACAAAGGAGAGAUAGUGAGAGCAGGGGAGAGUGAACGAAAAACAGAGUGGGGGAGGACGAACAGGAACAGAGCACGAAUUAUGAGAGUAGUGAGAAAUCCCUAGCGCCUCAGGCUCGACCAGUUCAUAUCAUCGCUGCAUCUUCGUCAACCCAACACCUCAAAACCACCAACUCAUCUAUUUUUCACCAAAAAGCCACUAUUAUGUUAUUCUUCUCUCCAUUAGAACCACCAUAGCAGAUCUAUUUACACCACCAGUAGACUGUCGUCUCUUAGCCUUCCCUACCAUGAAUACCCAGUCGCAAUCUCGGUAAAACCUCAAAUAAAACCCAAACACCAACAAUUUGUUUUCCAGCUUUCAUCAUUAUCGAGUUUCGAGUUUUCCGGCAAGGUAUCUAAAUGAAAGGUAUUCGUGUCAGUGAGGUUUCUGGUUCGAGGACCGUCCGGCGUCCGCGGUUUAGGUUCCAAUCGUCGUUGCUUGCUAUAGCAAUUUUGCAUCCAAAUAGACAUUGUAAAGUUGGACACUCUCGUUAAUGGCAAAGCUCUGUUUGAGAUCCAUUUCUUACUUUGAUUUCUAAAUGUUCUCUAUGUGGUCCUAUUAUCAAUCGUUGAUGAUUUAUAAUUGUUCUGCUGUUUCAUUUUUUGUUAAAGAUUUUCUUGAUUGGAUUCAUUUUGUUGAGUUUUCAUUUGAUACGUUAUUUGGGUACAGACAUGGAUUAGUUAGUUUUUUAAAAGGGUGAAUGCAUGUGAUUUAUUGGGUCAAUUGUUUUGGAAUAAAAAUUCUCCGAGAGCAUAAAAUGAGUCAUGACAGUAAUUAGAAUUAAAAGUAAGUUUUGGAUUGCGAGUUAAAAAUAAAUUUGGACUUGGCUAUAUUUUGAGAUCAGGCUUGAAGUAAUUUUAUUGCUCUUUUACUUUAUCUCUCAGUAAUUGGAUCGGCUGGAGCAUGUUUUGGUUUAAAAUUAGAUUUGGGGCUUUGGUUAAUAAUGAAAAGGAAUUCGAGCUUAAGAAAGAUUAUGUUAUUCUCUUGUUGCUUCUCAUUUAAUUAUUCGGGUCGUUAGGAGCAUACUUAGGAAAAUAAUCACUUAUGAACACCAUAGUUUGCUUUAGGCGCGAUUAAUGAAUUAUCGUGGCCAUGGGUAUGGUUCCCGUAGCAUGGUCACGAUACGUAAAUCCCAACUCAAGUGCAUGUUUCACGUGACUUGACCUCAACUUCAAAUAAUAAUAAUAAUAAUAAAUAUGUUGUAAAUCGCAGGUGCAUUUCACGUGGCACGAUUCACAAUAUAUACAAAAACCAACGAGUGCGCAACAUCGCGACUUGUUCAAACAAAUCCCAUAAAUACUAAAAGCGAUAGAAUUAAUUAAAAGCGGUUAGAAUGUUAAAAAUACAUGAUAGGUUUUAAACAUGUAAUAAAUCAGAUAAUUAGGCCAAUUAUUAAUAGUUAAGUGACCGUGCUAAAAUCACGGAAUCCGGGAGUGCCUCACACCUUCUCUCGGGUUAAUUCUUGUUUUCGCAGACUUUCAAACAUUGUCAAAUUUCCUCGAUUUGGGAUUUAAAAUAAACUGAUGACUUGGGACACCAUAAAUUAUUCCAAGUGGCAACUCUGAUUAAAUAAAUAAUUUUAUUUCGAUUAAUGUCACUUUAAUUGGAAACAUUUCCUAUCCCUCAGGAAAAAGGAGGUGUGACAGUACUAUGCAGAUGUGCAUCGACUAUAGGCAGUUGAACAAAGUUACCCGG